CCGGGCGCACGGGUGAGUAACGCGUAUGCAACUUACCUAUCAGAGGGGGACGAACCGGCGAAAGUCGGACUAAUACCGCAUAAAGCAGGGAUCCCGCAUGGGAAUAUUUGCUAAAGAUUCAUCGCUGAUAGAUAGGCAUGCGUUCCAUUAGGCAGUUGGCGGGGUAACGGCCCACCAAACCGACGAUGGAUAGGGGUUCUGAGAGGAAGGUCCCCCACAUUGGUACUGAGACACGGACCAA
Molecule: ribosomal RNA, 241 nt
Filed under: uncultured bacterium
Lineage: Bacteria
Description: partial 16S ribosomal RNA
Rfam family: Bacterial small subunit ribosomal RNA
Source: RNAcentral